Molecule: unclassified non-coding RNA, 398 nt
Filed under: fungal sp.
Lineage: Eukaryota; Fungi
Description: partial internal transcribed spacer region
Rfam family: Eukaryotic small subunit ribosomal RNA (bases 1-46)
Source: RNAcentral
AAGUCGUAACAAGGUUUCCGUAGGUGAACCUGCGGAAGGAUCAUUAACACGUAUCCAAACGUUAAAACCCCCCCCGUGAACUUUCAAUCCAGCUCUUGUAACCCGCGUAGUUCCGCAAUCUCUGGUAAAUCAUAGCCCUGCCUACGUGAGAAAAAUGGAACAGUUACAAUCGAGCGGUAGUUUCAUAGGCAUUGUUUCCCCAAGCAGUCAGUGUCGGAAAGUGUCAUUGAUUGUGCAAGGAUAGCGCUUCCACGAUUCCUGUAGACCGUACACUCGGGCAGGAGCUAUGCCAAAGGGUCCCCAUGCCCCCUUACAACCCCACAGUUUAAUGUAAAGCUCAAUGUAAUACAUUGGGUAAAAAAACCGAACAACUGUUAACAAUGGAUAUCUUGGUUCUC